UACGUAGGUGGCGAGCGUUGUCCGGAUUUACUGGGCGUAAAGAGCGCGCAGGCGGCUGGUCAAGUCCGAUGUGAAAGCUCCCGGCUUAACUGGGAAAUUGCAUCGGAAACUGAUCGGCUGGAAGGUGGGAGAGGGUAGCGGAAUUCCCGGUGUAGUGGUGAAAUGCGUAGAUAUCGGGAGGAACACCAAUGGCGAAGGCAGCUCGCUGGGACGGUACUGACGCUGAGACGCGAAAGCGUGGGGAGCAAACAGG
This 253-nucleotide ribosomal RNA is filed under the name uncultured bacterium. RNAcentral describes it as "partial 16S ribosomal RNA". It matches the Rfam family "Bacterial small subunit ribosomal RNA", at positions 524 to 776 of the family's 1533-position model. The record is from RNAcentral.